GAUGAACGCUGGCGGCGUGCCUAAUACAUGCAAGUCGAGCGAACAGACGAGGAGCUUGCUCCUUCGACGAUAGCGGAGGACGGGUGAGUAACACGUAGGUAACCUACCUAUAAGACUGGGAUAACUUCGGGAAACCGGAGCUAAUACCGGAUAAUAUUUCGAACCGCAUGGUUCGAUAGUGAAAGAUGGCUUUGCUAUCACUUAUAGAUGGACCUGCGCCGUAUUAGCUAGUUGGUAAGGUAACGGCUUACCAAGGCAACGAUACGUAGCCGACCUGAUAGGGGGGUAGCCCACACUGGAACGUAGACACGGUCCAGGCUCCUACGGGAGGCACCAGUAUGGAAUCUGCCGCAAUGGGCGAAAGCCUGACGGAGCAGCGCCGCGUGAGUGAUGAAGGUCUUCGGAUCGCAAAACUCUCUUAUUAGUGAAGAACAAACGUGUAAGGAACUGUGCACGUCUUGACGGUACCUAAUCAGAAAGCCCCGGCUAACUACGUG
RNAcentral lists this ribosomal RNA (497 nucleotides) under uncultured bacterium. RNAcentral describes it as "partial 16S ribosomal RNA". It matches the Rfam family "Bacterial small subunit ribosomal RNA", at positions 28 to 507 of the family's 1533-position model. The record is from RNAcentral.